Molecule: ribosomal RNA, 429 nt
Filed under: Bacteroidota bacterium
Lineage: Bacteria; Pseudomonadati; Bacteroidota
Description: Bacteroidetes bacterium partial 16S ribosomal RNA
Rfam family: Bacterial small subunit ribosomal RNA
Source: RNAcentral
UAGGGAAUCUUCGGCAAUGGGGGGAACCCUGACCGAGCAACGCCGCGUGAGUGAAGAAGGUUUUCGGAUCGUAAAGCUCUGUUGUUAAGGAAGAACGAGUGUGAGAAUGGAAAGUUCAUGCUGUGACGGUACUUAACCAGAAAGGGACGGCUAACUACGUGCCAGCAGCCGCGGUAUUACGUAGGUCCCGAGCGUUGUCCGGAUUUAUUGGGCGUAAAGCGAGCGCAGGCGGUUAGAAAAGUCUGAAGUGAAAGGCAGUGGUUCAACCAUUUUAGGCUUUGGAAGCUGUUUAACUUGAGUGCAGAAGGGGAGUGUGUAAUUCCAUGUGUAGCGGUGAAAUGCGUAGAUAUAUGGAGGAACACGGGUGGCGGAAGCGGCUCUCUGGUCUGUAACUGACGCUGAGGCUCGAAAGCGUGGGGAGCGAACAGG